This 496-nucleotide ribosomal RNA is filed under the name uncultured bacterium. Its description in RNAcentral is "partial 16S ribosomal RNA". It matches the Rfam family "Bacterial small subunit ribosomal RNA", at positions 29 to 507 of the family's 1533-position model. The record is from RNAcentral.
AUGAACGCUGGCGGCGUGCCUAAUACAUGCAAGUCGAGCGAACGGACGAGAAGCUUGCUUUUCUGAUGUUAGCGGCGGACGGGUGAGUAACACGUGGAUAACCUACCUAUAAGACUGGGAUAACUUCGGGAAACCGGAGCUAAUACCGGAUAAUAUUUUGAACCGCAUGGUUCAAAAGUGAAAGACGGUCUUGCUGUCACUUAUAGAUGGAUCCGCGCUGCAUUAGCUAGUUGGUAAGGUAACGGCUUACCAAGGCAACGAUGCAUAGCCGACCUGAGAGGGUGAUCGGCCACACUGGAACUGAGACACGGUCCAGACUCCUACGGGAGGCAGCAGUAGGGAAUCUUCCGCAAUGGGCGAAAGCCUGACGGAGCAACGCCGCGUGAGUGAUGAAGGUCUUCGGAUCGUAAAACUCUGUUAUUAGGAAAGAACAUAUGUGUAAGUAACUGUGCACAUCUUGACGGUACCUAAUCAGAAAGCCACGGCUAACUACGUG